RNAcentral lists this unclassified non-coding RNA (1097 nucleotides) under Bactrocera tryoni. Its description in RNAcentral is "uncharacterized LOC120780013, transcript variant X1". Lineage: Eukaryota; Metazoa; Arthropoda; Insecta; Diptera; Tephritidae. The record is from RNAcentral.
UCAGAAUUUUGUUAAAAUCUUUAGCAAAUUUUUUAAGGUUAACAUCGUUCCAUAAGUUUUCUAUUAGAUUAAAGUCAGGGCUUAACACUGGCUCAAUACAUUCAAUAUUUUACGUUUAAAGUGAAUAAAAUUGUAAAUUUAUUUUAAAGUUUAUGUUAAGUGAAUUUUCGGGUAAAUAAUAACAAAUUAUGGAGAAAAGUGACACAGACUCCGAGUAUCAAAGCGGUGCUUUAGGACCACCAACUAAGAAGAAAUUACGUGCGGAAAUUGUGCAUAAAAAGUGUGUGACAACAGAUUCAAGACAAGAUUUUAAACCUAGUGAGACCCAAUCAAUUGAUAAUGAAUCACGAAGAGGUUUACCAUUACAAAUAAUUGGUGACAUCGUGAUUGAACAUGGCAAUAAUCAAAUGGAAGUUAAUGAUGGAAAUCUCACUAUAGAUCAUGUACAAAAACCGAGACAAAUGAUUGAAGUUAGGUACAUUAAUUUCGAUUUUACUUUUAUGAUCAUUCAUGACUCUAACAAUAAUUUACCACAUUUACACAACUGAAAUUAUGGAAUUAUAGGUUGAAUAAAGCGCCAAAAACUUCUGCAGAACGUGGUCGAGAAUUCAGAGCACGAAAAGCACUGCUUAAAAAACAAUGUAAGCAACAACAGGAACCAGAUGCAAUAGUUGAAAUUGCUAUGAUACCUCGAAUAUAGUAACUUCGAACAUGGACAUUCUAUUACGACAUAUUCGUGAAGUUGAUAUUUUUCAGUCAUCAAUUGGUGAUAUAUGUGCUGCUCACUGUGUUUUGGACGAUGGAACAAACAUCAUAAUGAAGACUUAUGAUUUAUGGUCGAGUAGGUUCUGAAGAACUAGGAGAAAACUAUCAUACGUUGCCACUAAUCUUAGCAGGAGAUUUCAAUAUCAAUUUCAUCCGAAGAUGGACAACUCUUGAUAAACUUUCUACGAGAUAAAUUAGAAUUACAAAUGAAUAAUGACCGUAAUGAGCCAACUACAAGACAUGGACCAACAAUCGAUGCAGUUUUUUCUAGAUUUCGGUCUAAUUUUAAUUCUAAAAUAUAUGUAUCGUAUUUCUCGUAUCAUAAGCCUAUU